ACCUCGGUGGUGUAGUGGUAGCACGAGUCCCCGGCAUAGAUGAAACGCGGGUUCCACUCCCGCCAAAGGUC
Parelaphostrongylus tenuis is the source of this 71-nucleotide non-coding RNA. NCBI's taxonomy places the organism in Eukaryota, Metazoa, Nematoda, Chromadorea, Rhabditida, Metastrongylidae. The record is from the annotation of a GenBank genome assembly.